This 1185-nucleotide long non-coding RNA is filed under the name Apteryx haastii (Great spotted kiwi). Its description in RNAcentral is "lncRNA (ENSAHAG00000012318.1)". The record is from RNAcentral. Lineage: Eukaryota; Metazoa; Chordata; Aves; Apterygiformes; Apterygidae.
ACCUCCAGCUACACUCGCGCUUUACCGCUGGGGACCACUACUUCAAGCCGCGGCUGCACCUUGAGGAGACAAAGCGAAGCCCAGCGAAACGGCGGCGGCAGCAGCAGCCCCCUAGACAGGGACCCCAGGGCAGGGCACGGGCCGCCCCCCUCGGGGGGGCUGCGCGCAGCGGCUGCAGGCAGGGCUGUGGCAGGGAAGCACCGCCGGAAAGCAAAGCCUCUGGCGGCAGCGAAUCCCCGGGGCCCUCAGGUUCAGGCACGGAGCUCAGCGGCAAGGCAGGCAGGGACCGACCGGGCAGGGGAAGCCAAUCCGGCAGGGCAGAGCCGCGGCAAACCACGCAGAGCUGCGGGAAACGGCCGCCCCGGGCCGGGCUCCGGGCAGCGGCCCCAGCGCAGCGGCAGCCAGGCGGCGCCGCGCAGCACAGGCCGGAGACGGGCCCGGGGCAGGCAGCGCUCGCGGGGGAGCGCCGGGGUCCCGGGAGCGCCAGCGGGGGCCCCGGGCAGGGACGAUGCUGCCUCCCGCCCCGUCCCGUCCCGUCGCGCCCCCCGCCCCGAGAGCCGCCUCCGCCGGGGCACGGCGAGGCAGCGCGGCGGGGGCGCCCCCACCGCCCCCCCCAGCGAGGCCGGCCGGGGGCGAGGAGCCCCCCGAGACGCCAGGCCUCCGCCCGCCGGGUCCCCGCGACCCCCGGCUCCGCGCCGAGCUGCGAGCCGGGACAGCGGCGGCGCCGCGCCGCCCCGCGCGCUCCCGUUCCCACCGCCGCCGYCGCCUCCGCCCUUUCCGCCCGCCCGCAGCGCGGAGACCCCCCGCUCCCCUCACCGGGCACGGCGGCGUAGCAGCUCCUCCGUCCCUCGGCCAAGAUGGCAGCCGCUCCGAGCCCAACCUGAGGCAGCGACUUUCCAAAGUCGGGCGGGCCGUGCGCACGCGCGGAGUCGCCGAGAGGCCGCGGUGACUACAAGUCCCGGCGUGCCCCGCGCAUGCGCGCACCGCCUUUCCGCCCUCCUGAGGGGGCSGGGCCGGGCCGGGCCGCGGCGGGGCCUCUCCCGUUGGCCCGCGGCUGCGGUUUGUGCGCGUCGCGGGAGCAGCCGGAGGCCUGGGGCAGCCGGGGCUUUGGCGCCGAGCUCGCCUGAGCGUGGUGCCCGGGCAGCCGGCAGCGGGGCGCGGCUGCGGUUUGCCCCGCUCCGGUGA